Molecule: ribosomal RNA, 253 nt
Filed under: uncultured bacterium
Lineage: Bacteria
Description: partial 16S ribosomal RNA
Rfam family: Bacterial small subunit ribosomal RNA
Source: RNAcentral
UACGGAGGGUGCGAGCGUUGUCCGGAAUCAUUGGGCGUAAAGGGCGCGUAGGUGGCGCGGUAAGCGUGCGGUGAAAGCUCGGGGCUCAACCCCGAGUCGGCCGUGCGAACUGCUGGGCUUGAGCACUGUAGAGGCAGGCGGAAUUCCGGGUGUAGCGGUGGAAUGCGUAGAGAUCCGGAAGAACACCGGUGGCGAAGGCGGCCUGCUGGGCAGUAGCUGACACUGAGGCGCGACAGCGUGGGGAGCAAACAGG